Molecule: ribosomal RNA, 279 nt
Filed under: uncultured bacterium
Lineage: Bacteria
Description: partial 16S ribosomal RNA
Rfam family: Bacterial small subunit ribosomal RNA
Source: RNAcentral
AGCGAACGCUGGCGGCAGGCCUAAUACAUGCAAGUCGAGCGGUCCCUUCGGGGGCAGCGGCGGACGGGUGAGUAACGCGUGGGAACGUGCCCCUUUGGUACGGAACAACUGAGGGAAACUUCAGCUAAUACCGUAUGUGCCCUUCGGGGGAAAGAUUUAUCGCCAUUGGAGCGGCCCGCGUUGGAUUAGGUAGUUGGUGAGGUAAAGGCUCACCAAGCCUACGAUCCAUAGCUGGUCUGAGAGGAUGAUCAGCCACACUGGGACUGAGACACGGCCCAG